Molecule: ribosomal RNA, 468 nt
Filed under: uncultured bacterium
Lineage: Bacteria
Description: partial 16S ribosomal RNA
Rfam family: Bacterial small subunit ribosomal RNA
Source: RNAcentral
GACGAACGCUGGCGGCGUGCUUAACACAUGCCAGUCGAACGGAAAGGCCCUGCUUUUGUGGGUUUCUCGAGUGGCGAACGGGUGAGUAACACGUGAGUAACCUGCCCUUGACUUUGGGAUAACUUCAGGAAACUGGGGCUAAUACCGGAUAUGAGCUCCUGCUGCAGGAUGGGGGUGGGAAAGUAUAGGCGGUUGGGGUUGGACUGGCGGCUGGUCAGCUUGUUGGUGGGGUAGGGGCUUACCACGCAUGUGAGGGGUAGCCGGCCUGAGAGGGUGGUCGGCCAGAUAGGGAGGGAGAUAGGGCCGAGACUCAUACGGGAGGGAGCAGUGGGGAAUAGUGAACAAUGGGCGGAAGCAUGAUGCAGCAAAGCCGCGUGGGGGAGGACGGCCUUGGGGUUGUAAACCGCUUUCGCCUGUGACGAAGCGUGAGUGACGGUAAUGGGCAAAGAAGCACCGGCUAACUACGUG